GGGGUCGACUGGUUUUGACAGCGAGAUUAAUUAAAUGGUAAGCACGUCGUGUAACGACUAUGAGACACGUAAAACGCUAGGUCAACUUUUUAAACGGCGAGAAUAACUACGCUUUAGCUGCCUAAUCUGAAUUAUAGUAAGAUUACGCCUAGGCUUACAAGGUAAGCAAGCUAAAUGUCUCUGGAAAGCCUUGAUUGGCGGCGUUCCUUUUUGAGGCAUCGUAAAAGUCAAAAUAGAUUUGGUAGCGCUUUGAUGCCAAUUCGAAACUUUAAAAAGAUAAGCAGUAACUAGGUUGUCUUUAACCAGGUUGCUGAUGAAAACACAAGAAAAGACUAAACGUGUAGAAAGCUAUUUGGUUACUUGUUUGGACGAGAGUUCGAUUCUCUCCGACUCCACAA
Molecule: transfer-messenger RNA, 398 nt
Filed under: Mesoflavibacter zeaxanthinifaciens
Lineage: Bacteria; Pseudomonadati; Bacteroidota; Flavobacteriia; Flavobacteriales; Flavobacteriaceae
Also listed under: 1 other name
Description: Standard tmRNA
Rfam family: transfer-messenger RNA
About the family: Bacterial tmRNA, also known as 10Sa RNA or SsrA, is named for its dual tRNA and mRNA-like properties.
Source: RNAcentral